AACUUUUGGCAAUGUGUCACUUGGUUCUGGCAUCGAUGAAGAACGAAGCGAAAUGCGAUAAGUAAUGUGAAUUGCAGAAUUCAGUGAAUCAUCGAAUCUUUGAACGCACAUUGCGCCCGCCAGUAUUAUGGCGGGCAUGCCUGUUCGAGCGUCAUUUCAACCCUCAAGCCCACGGGCUUGGUGUUGGGGAUCGGCGUGCCCUCGCGGCGCGCCGUCCCCUAAAUCUAGUGGCGGUCUCGCUGUAGCUUCCUCUGCGUAGUAGCAACACUCGCACUGGAUCGCAGCGCGGCCACGCCGUUAAACCCCCCACUUCUGAAAGUUUGACCUCGGAUCAGGUAGGAAUACCCGCUGAACUUAAGCAUAUCAAUAAGCGGAGGCU
RNAcentral lists this unclassified non-coding RNA (379 nucleotides) under uncultured Nectriaceae. RNAcentral describes it as "sequence contains ITS2". The stretch from base 1 to 154 matches the Rfam family "5.8S ribosomal RNA". The record is from RNAcentral. Lineage: Eukaryota; Fungi; Ascomycota; Sordariomycetes; Hypocreales; Nectriaceae.